GACUAAAUAAGUCUGGUGGCCUAGUGGUUAGAACUUCCGCCUCGGAUGUGAGAGGUCGUGGGUUCGAUCCUCGAUCGAGUCA
This is a non-coding RNA of Potamilus streckersoni, 82 nucleotides long. The record is from the annotation of a GenBank genome assembly. Lineage: Eukaryota; Metazoa; Mollusca; Bivalvia; Unionida; Unionidae.